AUUAAAGCGUUGAGUGGAAUCGAUAAGCGGUCAUGGUUCACAGCGAGUUCGGGUUGAUGGGAACCGAAUAGCCAUCCGUUUAUCACACAUCCAUGAGUGGACGAUUGAACAACAGUAGGUCGUCUCGGUUGGGCUCGUUAUCGCCGUGGUUGAAGCAACUACAUGAGGUUGAUUGUGUGAGCAAUUGACAAAUCUGAGGUGGAACCGCGGUUUAAGCCGUCCUCUUA
Molecule: non-coding RNA, 227 nt
Filed under: Lacticaseibacillus rhamnosus
Lineage: Bacteria; Bacillati; Bacillota; Bacilli; Lactobacillales; Lactobacillaceae
Description: Lactobacillus rhamnosus T-box
Rfam family: T-box leader
About the family: Uncharged tRNA acts as the effector for transcription antitermination of genes in the T-box leader family. T-boxes are found upstream of many aminoacyl-tRNA synthetase genes and some amino acid biosynthetic genes usually in Gram-positive bacteria.
Source: RNAcentral